This 450-nucleotide ribosomal RNA is filed under the name uncultured bacterium. RNAcentral describes it as "bacterial SSU rRNA". It matches the Rfam family "Bacterial small subunit ribosomal RNA", at positions 354 to 796 of the family's 1533-position model. RNAcentral also lists the same sequence under 1 other name. The record is from RNAcentral.
GCUAAGAAUAUUCCGCAAUGGACGAAAGUCUGACGGAGCGACGCCGCGUGGAUGAAGAAGGCCGAAAGGUUGUAAAAUCCUUUUGCUGAUGAAGAAUAAGUGCGGGAGGGAAUGCCCGUAUGAUGACAUUAGUCGGUGAAUAAGCCCCGGCUAACUACGUGCCAGCAGCCGCGGUAACACGUAGGGGGCAAGCGUUGUUCGGAAUUAUUGGGCGUAAAGGGCAUGUAGGCGGUUUCGUAAGCCUGGUGUGAAAUCCUGCAGCUUAACUGUAGAAUUGCAUCGGGUACUGCGAGACUUGAAUCACAGAGGGGAAACUAGAAUUCCAGGUGUAGGGGUGGAAUCUGUAGAUAUCUGGAAGAAUACCGGUGGCGAAGGCGGGUUUCUAGCUGAUGAUUGACGCUGAGGUGCGAAAGUGCGGGGAGCAAACAGGAUUAGAAACCCUAGUAGUCC